CGCAACACACCUUUCGUCACAAACCACCAGAUCACAGCGUUAGACUGGCGCACCUCGAAAGACGACUGAGCAGACCAUUGUCUGCGGAGCAACAAGCAGCCACGGUCGCUGAAUUAGUCCAGGUUACGGCGCAGCGCGACGCUCACGAAGCCCUUAUGGCAGCUGACAGAAGGCGCCAUACAACCGGCGGGAACGUGACAAAAUAGAAAAACGAUGCCAUACUUGCGUUGCAUCACAACCUCAGUGACAAAACCCUGGCCUGGAAGCUAAUCUUUACCUUUAUCUAUAAUUCUCUAAAGUUUAUUGUUAAAAAAUAAAUAUUUAGAUAGAAUGGUUGUCUCCUCGUUAAAUAUGUUCAAGGUUCGCUCGUAAUUAUGAAAUGCUGUUGCCAAAAUUUAUGGCAGAACUUUGCAGUCUUAUAAUGUUAAUACAUUAUAGACAAAAAUGUAAUAAAAUAUGUAAAUUGGUGCCCGAAUGUGGCAUUGUUACCCUGAAAGCAAUUUUCUAAGUCUCGCUGUAAAUUAUAAGAUUGUAGGAAUAUUAUUUAUGUAUAUUUUUAAAUCAAUAAAUCAUGACUUGACAAUAUACUUUGUAAACAUAUAUCCGUAUAUUUUAGUUAAAUAUCUGCGAACAAUCUAUACUAGUAUUUCCAAAGGUGAACUUUGAGAUAUUUCUAAUCAUUGAGCUUUAUUUAGUUUUAUUAUUUAGAGAUUAAUGACUACUUUUUUAUAAAACUAACGAGAACAUACAUAAAAUUUUGUUAAAGCACCUACAAAUUUGUGUUUUUUUAAAUUUCGUAGAUCAAACUGAUAUGCCCAGUAAUUUUAAUAUAGUAAUAUAACGUAAAAUGUUUUUUAUAUGAUUAUUUAAAUAUUUGAAAGAAUAACCUGCAAUUAAAUGCAUAAAUAGUUUUAAUAAUUCAGUACAAUCAAUGUUAUUACAACGCAAAAAUUUAUAUUUGGUUGGAUUUUGUUUAUUUUAUACGAUAACAGAUUGUACAUAUUUAAAAAUAAUAGAUUUUACAUCACAAAUAUAGUCCACGAAGUAAUACAUCACAUUGCUAUAAGCCACGUAGUUUUAAAAUUAGCAAAUUUGAAUAUAUACGAAAUA
Molecule: long non-coding RNA, 1110 nt
Organism: Papilio xuthus (Asian swallowtail)
Lineage: Eukaryota; Metazoa; Arthropoda; Insecta; Lepidoptera; Papilionidae
Exons: 3
Source: RefSeq, a predicted model, not a curated record